CCUACGGGAGGCUGCAGUCGAGAAUUAUUCACAAUGGGGGAAACCCUGAUGGUGCGACGCCGCGUGGGGGAAUGAAGAUCUUCGGAUUGUAAACCCCUGUCAUGUGGGAGCAAAUUACAAAGAUAGUACCACAAGCGGAAGAGAAGGCGAACUCUGUGCCCGCAGCCGCGGUAAUACAGCGGUCUCAAGCGUUGUUCGGAAGCACUGGGCGUAAAGCGUGCGUCGGAUGGUUCGUAAGUCGUGUGGGAAAGGCGCGGGCUCAACCCGCGGACCGCACAUGAAACUGGGAUACUAGGGUAAUGGAGGGGGAACCGGAAAUCUCGGGGGAGCAGGGAAAUGCGGAG
RNAcentral lists this ribosomal RNA (344 nucleotides) under uncultured bacterium. Its description in RNAcentral is "partial 16S ribosomal RNA". It matches the Rfam family "Bacterial small subunit ribosomal RNA", at positions 338 to 693 of the family's 1533-position model. The record is from RNAcentral.